Molecule: ribosomal RNA, 353 nt
Filed under: Cheimarrichthys fosteri
Lineage: Eukaryota; Metazoa; Chordata; Actinopteri; Uranoscopiformes; Cheimarrichthyidae
Description: partial 12S ribosomal RNA
Rfam family: Bacterial small subunit ribosomal RNA
Source: RNAcentral
AAACAUUGAUGGUAAAUUACACCUACCAUCCGCCUGGGAACUACGAGCAUUAGCUUAAAACCCAAAGGACUUGGCGGUGCUUUAGAUCCACCUAGAGGAGCCUGUUCUAGAACCGAUAACCCCCGUUCAACCUCACCCCUCCUUGUUAAAACCGCCUAUAUACCGCCGUCGUCAGCUUACCCUGUGAAGGUUAAAUAGUAAGCACAAUUGGCACAACCCAACACGUCAGGUCGAGGUGUAGCGUAUGGAGGGGAAAGAAAUGGGCUACAUUCCCUAUUAUAGUGAAAACGAAUGAUGCACUGAAACAUAAAUCUGAAGGAGGAUUUAGUAGUAAGUAGGAACUAGAGCGUCCC